GACGAACGCUGGCGGCGCGCCUAACACAUGCAAGUCGAACGAGAGAUGAGGAGCUUGCUCUUCAAAUCGAGUGGCGAACGGGUGAGUAACGCGUGAGGAACCUGCCUCAAAGAGGGGGACAACAGUUGGAAACGACUGCUAAUACCGCAUAAGCCCACAGCUCGGCAUUGAGCAGAGGGAAAAGGAGUGAUCCGCUUUGAGAUGGCCUCGCGUCCGAUUAGCUGGUUGGUGAGGUAACGGCCUACCAAGGCGACGAUCAGUAGCCGACCUGAGAGGGUGAUCGGCCACAUUGGAACUGAGACACGGUCCAAACUCCUACGGGAGGCAGCAGUGGGGAAUAUUGCACAAUGGGCGAAAGCCUGAUGCAGCAACGCCGCGUGAGCGAAGAAGGUCUUCGGAUCGUAAAGCUCUGUCCUUGGGGAAGAUAAUGACGGUACCCUUGGAGGAAGCCCCCGGCUAACUACGUG
This 467-nucleotide ribosomal RNA is filed under the name uncultured bacterium. RNAcentral's name for it is "bacterial SSU rRNA". It matches the Rfam family "Bacterial small subunit ribosomal RNA", at positions 28 to 507 of the family's 1533-position model. The record is from RNAcentral.